Molecule: long non-coding RNA, 280 nt
Filed under: Nannospalax galili (Upper Galilee mountains blind mole rat)
Lineage: Eukaryota; Metazoa; Chordata; Mammalia; Rodentia; Spalacidae
Description: RNase MRP (ENSNGAG00000009033.1)
Rfam family: RNase MRP
About the family: RNase MRP is an enzymatically active ribonucleoprotein with two distinct roles in eukaryotes. In mitochondria it plays a direct role in the initiation of mitochondrial DNA replication. In the nucleus it is involved in precursor rRNA processing, where it cleaves the internal transcribed spacer 1 between 18S and 5.8S rRNAs.
Source: RNAcentral
GCUUGCUUUGAAGGCAUGUUUCCUAGGCUACACACUGAGAACUUGUUCUUUAUUCUUCUGCCUAGGGGGAAGUCAUCAGACCUUGGGCAGAGAGUGCCUGCCAUGUGCUCAUGCACACAGAAGUCUCUGGCCUGUCAUGGUUAGCCAACCAAGAAGCAAUCCUAUGAGAUUUUUCAAAGCUGUUCCUUAUGUGAGUAGAAAAUGUUAUUCUUUAUUCAGCUUCUCAUUUCUGUGUCUCUUUACUUAUGUGAAUCUAUCUUCCAAACUUGAUCAUGACGAG